Triticum aestivum (bread wheat) is the source of this 3819-nucleotide long non-coding RNA. RefSeq lists it as uncharacterized. The transcript has 2 exons. Lineage: Eukaryota; Viridiplantae; Streptophyta; Magnoliopsida; Poales; Poaceae. The record is from RefSeq and is a predicted model, not a curated record.
UCGACCACCUCCUUCGAUUCCCCCGCCUCCUACGACAGCCAUCGCGCGGAGUCCCCGCACGCGAAAAAAUCGGAUCGCCUCCCCCACCACGCCUCGCAUGAACGACAAAACCACGAACGCACAUCCCACCUCCAACUCCUCCAAAUCCCUCGUUGUCCAUCCCGUGGCUCUCCGGAGAGGAAUCGCCGCCGCCGACCUUCUUAGCGAACUUGAGCAGCAGCACACGGUGGAUCCUCGCUCUUGCCAUCUCAUCUCGUCCUCACCGAGUCUAGGAGAAAGCUCGACGAGAAGGAGCGCUUCGUUGACGGGGGGAGGGGCUGAGGCAGGACGCUAUGAUGAAGGCCGCCAUGUCGGCGAGGCCGACCAUUCGCGCCUCGCGGCCGUGCAAGGUGAGGAAGAGGAACAACUCCAAUCUCCGUGGGCGGGCCGUCCAGGAGGAGGAUGAGGUGCUGCCGAUCUCAGUGAUUGCAGAGAGGUUGGAGGAGGAAGACCAAAGACGUCGAUGUACCGAUUGCCCUGGGCGACGAUCGCUACCCUGCCUGGAUCGCCUUCGCCUAUGCUUCCUCCUCUCACCUGCUCAUGGACCUGUGAGCGACCUUUCUUCCUCCCUCAUGGUGCGAUCUAUGUUUUUUAUUAUGCGGGGAGUGUGAUCUAUGUUCUCUGGUUCAAAAUUGUGUUGGUCUGGUCCGAAGUAAGAGAAGCGACCUUGGAAGGAAAAGGAGCCUUUGCACGCUAGCAGCCGGGAGUUUCCGUGGCAACGAGUGUGUACUCUGAUCGGUAUUGGUGUGAUUGUUUUAUUCUCAUUUGACUAUGUGCGUGGUGUCCUAUUCAGUCUGCCAUGGAGUAAUCAGAUGACAGUGAAGGAGCGUGGUGGAGGAAUCAUGUGAGGUUUGUACACAAAGUUGUAUUUAUUUACUCAGUUUAUGAUUAGGAUUUUCUUAGUUACAUGAGAAUUCAGUUGCCAGAUUCAUGUUUUACGAGUUAGGAUAGAUAAUUUAAGCUAAGUUUAUUAGCUGAAACUAUAGUUCUGGUAUGAAACUGGCAAUGGAAUUUGCACUUUGGCAGUCACUACGUUAGUUACUCUACUUUGAGCAUAUGUGUUAUUGAUUCUUCUCAUGGACUGCACUCAUAGACCAAUAAAAUGUGUUGAUCAAUUCUUCUAUGUGCGUUGGAAGAGAAUGACCGAUUCAGUCAAAAAUGUAUCCAAAAUUGAUUUCCUGUUCUUUGCACCCAGUUCAUUUCCUGGAUCAAUUGGGAAAUAAAUCCAUAGUUUUAAACAAUAAAAAGGCCUGAUAGACAACAACUCCUCUUUUUAUUAGAUCUUUAAAGUUCCUGGACAGAAUGUUCUGAAACAUCUUCGUGUUACCGGACAUGUCUACGAAAUUUAUGAAGGAUACUUGUAUGAUCCUGGAUCAAGCUAUAUAAACCACUAGCAUAUAUAAAUUUCUGAAACUCAGAUGGAUCAAGUCUGGUAGCAGAGUAGCUAGCGAAAUAGCUCAAAUCGGGGCACUGAUUGAUCGACUAGCAACACACACGCACACGAAAGCUGAUGGUAUAGCAGCCACUGGCAUGCAACGUACAUGUUGUUUAUGUUUCUUCAACUCAUGAUGAUACAACCUAGGAACUACUUGCGUUUAUACAAGCUAUAAUAGCACUUGACUAAGUACAAUUAGCAAUCACUGCUUAACUUUGACAAUAGUGGGAUCUUUAGGCAACCAGAUUAGAGGACUAGCUAGCCCACUAUUUUAUCCAGAUUCAUUGUGCUAACUGCUAACUGAAGAAGUUCUGAGCUACUCCCUCCGUCCCAUAAUGUAAGAUGCUUUUUGGCACUAAUGUAGUGUCAAAAGACAUCGUACAUUAUGGGACGGAGGGAGUAUCAUCUAACUUCGCUAUUAUAGAUUUAUUUUUAUAGCCCAUGUUUUGCUUUUCCCACAUAUUGAACAUUUUAUGGAAUGAACGCAUUUAGCUGGAGGGGUUAUUAGGGUCAUGAAUGUUGUUUCAAUUUUUUUCGGAUAAUGAAGGUUCUAGAUCCUCAAAAGACUGAUCGCGCAUUUGUGGAGAAUAGUGGGACAACUAGCAAGGUUGGAUCAGCGUUGGCGACCAACAACAAUGGUGACGGACGUACAAGUUUAUUGUCCCGUGGCAACGCACGGACACUCAACUAGUAUAUAUAGAAGGGGCUUGACCUACUCGCAACGCCGCCGCAUUUCUCCAACCCUCUCACCGCUUCCUCACCACCUCCGAAAGCUCAGCAGGCCAUGGCUGGAUAGACAAGCAUGUCCGCUGAUCGAGCAGCUUAAGCCCUCCAUGCCCUGCGCUCGUGCGUGAUUCACAUCUAUGACUGCACAGCAGAGUUUCUUGUUCUGAAAAUUCGGAAUUAGUUCGCGUUCCGAAGGCUCCAGAUCUGAAGUUAGGAAUUGGAGGCUCAGAGAAUUGCAUAUUACUGCUACAGGGUAUUCGAGGAUUAGUUGGUUCGAUGGGUCGCAAGUUUCUGAAUAUGGUCCUGCACGAGUAUGGCAGUAGAAUGUAUUCGCUGUGCCGCAUCAAGCUCUCCACCCAUCUCUUCUAUCCGACAGCAAAAGACGCAACAACAGCCCAUGAAGAUGCAAAUGCAAGGAAGAAGAAGCAUGGGGGAUGGCCAUCAACGAUCUCGAGCUGCAAGCGCCCGCCAAGUACUUUGGUCAACUUCUCGGUGCCACCCAGCACUGCUGCCGCCAGUAACAUGCGUUUCUUCUCCCUCCUGCCUGAGCAGGGAGAGUCCUCUGUCAUGUUCACAGACCCUUCUUGCAACUCCUCAGUCUACGAUAUGGACAUGAAGUCUUUCGUUCUGCAAACCGUAUGAUUCCAUCACCGUGUCCAUUAGGAACCGAUGCAGCAGCGGCAAUUUCUUGGACCACGAAGAUGAUCACGGCCUCUACGUCAUGAACAGCUUGGACGACAGCUUUGAGUUCUUCAAUUACUGCAAGGUUGGCUUAUCUACCUAUCCGUUACUGUACAAUAAGUGGUACUGGAGUCCUCUGCCGUCUCCACCGUCCCGCACCAGUCCUCUUGUUGCAGCGGCGGUGAUUGACAACUCCACCAUAUGCGCGUCAUCCAAGAACGGCACAUACACCUUUGAUAUUUCGAGGGAGGUGUGGAGCCACACUGGCAGCUGGGUGCUGCCCUUCCACCGCGCAGCAGAGUAUGUCCCUGAGCUUGGACUCUGGUUCGGCCUCCAGGCCCCUGGCACCUGGCAAAAUCGCUUAUGUGCAUUGACCUUUCAUCCUCUGCCAUGGCGGAAUCUGCUCCUUCACCCCUGCAUGAUUGGGAAUACCUCGAUCUCCUGCCUGAUGAGUUGCUGCCGGUGGGGCGUGCCUUGGUGAACCUGGGCUCAGGCAAGUUUUGCAUCGCCACCCACUGCAGGAAGAACAGGUCUGAACACCAGGAGGAGGACGAGUUGGAGAAUAUUAGGAGUUUGGGUGGAAAUGGGGGUGUGCAAACUCUCUUGACUGGCGUGGAGGUGGUCCGCUGCGCCGACGGGCUCCAGCUUAUCCACCACAAGUCCCAACGUUACAACAUUGAAAACUUAAGUAUCCACUGCGUGCUCUGACUCGUUUUAUUACCUGCCCGAUCAUCCCAAUCUGAGCCAUGUACUCCCUCUGUAAACAAAUAUAAGAGUGUUUAAAUCAUUAAAAUAGUAUUCUAAACACUCCUAUAUUAGUUUACGGAGGGAGUACUAGUUAGCUUUACCUAGUGGCUGGAUGCAUCACUCUGUUAUGAUUACCUGUAAGUCGGGACUGACAAAAUAAUACUCUUACUAUUGUUUGCUGUUGAUGCUCA